This 440-nucleotide ribosomal RNA is filed under the name uncultured bacterium. RNAcentral's name for it is "partial 16S ribosomal RNA". It matches the Rfam family "Bacterial small subunit ribosomal RNA", at positions 338 to 795 of the family's 1533-position model. The record is from RNAcentral.
CCUACGGGUGGCAGCAGUGGGGAAUAUUGCACAAUGGGGGAAACCCUGAUGCAGCGACGCCGCGUGAGUGAAGAAGUAAUUCGUUAUGUAAAGCUCUAUCAGCAGGGAAGAAAAUGACGGUACGUGAGUAAGAAGCCCCGGCUAACUACGUGCCAGCAGCCGCGGUAAUACGUAGGGGGCAAGCGUUAUCCGGAUUUACUGGGUGUAAAGGGAGCGUAGACGGCAGUGCAAGUCCGGAGGGAAAUGCGGGGGAUCAACCCCGGGACUGCUCUUGAAACUGUACGUCUUGAGUGGAGGAGAGGUAAGUGGAAUGCCUAGUGUAGCGGUGAAAUGCGUAGAUAUUAGGAGGAACUCCAGUGGCGAAGGCGGCUUACUGGACUGUAACUGACGUUGAGGCUCGAAAGCGUGGGGAGCAAACAGGAUUAGAUACCCCUGUAGUC